GGGUUUCCGCCCUUCAGUGCCGCAGCUAACGCAUUAAGCAMUCCGCCUGGGGAGUACGACCGCAAGGUUGAAACUCAAAGGAAUUGACGGGGGCCCGCACAAGCGGUGGAGCAUGUGGUUUAAUUCGAAGCUACGCGAAGAACCUUACCAGGUCUUGACAUCUUGCGCCAACCCUAGAGAUAGGGCGUUUCCUUCGGGAACGCAAUGACAGGUGGUGCAUGGUCGUCGUCAGCUCGUGUCGUGAGAUGUUGGGUUAAGUCCCGCAACGAGCGCAACCCUUGUUACUAGUUGCCAGCAUUCAGUUGGGCACUCUAGUGAGACUGCCGGUGACAAACCGGAGGAAGGUGGGGACGACGUCAGAUCAUCAUGCCCCUUAUGACCUGGGCUACACACGUGCUACAAUGGACGGUACAACGAGUCGCGAACUCGCGAGGGCAAGCUAAUCUCUUAAAACCGUUCUCAGUUCGGACUGCAGGCUGCAACUCGCCUGCACGAAGUCGGAAUCGCUAGUAAUCGCGGAUCAGCAUGCCGCGGUGAAUACGUUCCCGGGCCUUGUACACACCGCCCGUCACACCAUGAGAGUUUGCAACACCCAAAGUCGGUGGGG
RNAcentral lists this ribosomal RNA (607 nucleotides) under Limosilactobacillus mucosae. RNAcentral describes it as "bacterial SSU rRNA". Lineage: Bacteria; Bacillati; Bacillota; Bacilli; Lactobacillales; Lactobacillaceae. The record is from RNAcentral.